This 253-nucleotide ribosomal RNA is filed under the name uncultured bacterium. RNAcentral describes it as "partial 16S ribosomal RNA". It matches the Rfam family "Bacterial small subunit ribosomal RNA", at positions 524 to 776 of the family's 1533-position model. The record is from RNAcentral.
AACGUAGGAGGCGAGCGUUAUCCGGAGUUACUGGGCGUAAAGCGCGUGUAGGCGGUUCGACAAGCUGGGUGUGAAAGCGCCAGGCUCAACCUGGCGAGGCCAUCCAGGACUGUCGGGCUGGAGGCCGGUAGAGGAGUGCGGAAUUCCGGGUGUAGCGGUGAAAUGUGUAGAGAUCCGGAGGAACACAAGUGGUGCAGACGGCGCUCUGGGCCGGGCCUGACGCUGAGACGCGAAAGCGUGGGGAGCGAACGGG